ACACAACACGUCCAUCAGAACCGCCUCAGACUACAACGACAAACUCUCCACCUGCAUCAUCCUCAACAACACUGGAACAAGAUAAACAGCAAACACACAGCAGCCUCCCUCCAGGACGAAGAUGUGGAGAGGACGUGAUGACUGAAGGACAUCAGGACUGUGAGGGAAAGCUGGAGGAUCGGCCUGAACCUGACGUUGUCACUUUCUGUACUAAAUAACACAUGAACACAGCCGGAGCAGCACGAGUUCAGAUCAACGCUGGAGAGAAAACUGAAUAUAGCAGCAUUAUAACAAUCUAAUCCAAAAUAAAUAUAGACACGUUCUCAGAUAUUAUAGAAUAAUGCUGAAAACAUAUAUUAAAUACACACCAUGGCCUAGCACAAGACUCACUCUGCUGGAUUUAUUUUUAUAAGUAUGUGAAAUUUUGCUAUUUAAAAAAUCAGAUUCAGACAUAUACGCGCGCGUGUGUGUGUGUGUGUGUGUGUGUGUGUGUGUGUGUGUGUGUGUGUGUGUGUGUGUGUGUGUGUGUGUGUGUGUGUGUGUGUGUGUGUGUGUGUGUGGUGGUUCCAGAUAAUUGUGUUCUCUUCACCUUCAUUUAUAUUAGCUAAGGGUAUUGUUCUGCAUUCACUUUGUCUAUUAAUCAUUAAAAACUGCUGAUGGAUAAUCUUGCAAAUUAUAUUUUGAAUGUACGUGUUAUUUUAUAUCUUAUGUGUACCAUUCUUACGUAUAUGAGAUUAAGAAAUAAAUGCUCUAGGAGGCUUUUGCAUAAAUAGACUGCUAUAGAGGUUCUUGUUUGUGACUUUUUUAAAACUUUGAGUAAGAAUAAAAAAGGAGGAUUGUUGAAUCUGCCUGAA
Molecule: long non-coding RNA, 854 nt
Organism: Ictalurus punctatus (channel catfish)
Lineage: Eukaryota; Metazoa; Chordata; Actinopteri; Siluriformes; Ictaluridae
Exons: 3
Source: RefSeq, a predicted model, not a curated record